This is a small nucleolar RNA of Castor canadensis (American beaver), 133 nucleotides long. The record is from Ensembl. NCBI's taxonomy places the organism in Eukaryota, Metazoa, Chordata, Mammalia, Rodentia, Castoridae.
GCAUGAGUUGGAUUAUUAGCAGCCCUAUCCCCCUGGGUCUCUCAUAGUGUCACAUGCCAGAAUAAGCUGUGGCUCCAAACUGUUGCAUGGCCUCUGCCUGUAGGUUGCUGGCUCUGAAGUGAGUUGCACAAUG